CAUGAGUUCGAGGUGGACGAGGAUGGUGAGGGCAUUGUCGACGCACCGACAGGAAGAGGAGGCAACUACACCAAUGAUGAAGACAUCUUGCUAUGCAAUACUUGGUUGCAAGUGUCAAGGGAUCCAUCCGUUGGAGGUGAUCAAAGUAGAGAUGCAUAUUGGAACCGGAUGAAGGAGCACUUUGAUCUACACAACAAGAGUGGAGUUGACUGCUCGGAACGAUCUCUUCGCUCCCGGUGGUCAACAAUCAACCGAGAUUGUCAAAAGUGGGCGGCCGCACAAAAGGCGGUUGACAAG
Molecule: ribosomal RNA, 297 nt
Filed under: Triticum aestivum (bread wheat)
Lineage: Eukaryota; Viridiplantae; Streptophyta; Magnoliopsida; Poales; Poaceae
Description: partial small subunit ribosomal RNA
Source: RNAcentral